AAAGUCCAUGGAAAGCUCGUGGCCACCUUUUUUUUUUCUAUGAUACAGAGUCCCACUUUGUCAUCCGCAGUAGAGUGUCGUGGUAUCACAGCUCACAGCAACUUCAAACUCUUGGGCUCAAGAGAUUCUCUUGCCUCAGCCUCCUGAGUAGCUGGGACUACAAGUGUACACCACAAUGCCCAGCUGUUUUUAGAGAUGAGGUCUCGCUCUUGCUCAGGCUGGUCUCGAACCUGUGAGCUCAGGCAGUCCACCCACCUUGGCCUCCCAGAGUGCUAGGAUUACAGGCGUGAGCCACCGAGUCUGGCCUCAUGGCCACCUUUUGAGGUAUGCCAUGUGGUCCCAUUUUGCAACUCAGGAUAUUAAAGCACACACAGGGGAAAUAUGUUAUUAAGCCAUGGGCUCAUAGCUAAUGCUUGUUGAACAUGGAAGCCAAUACUAUGGCAUCUGCCUUAGAGAAAUUAUAAAGGUUUAUCUCCAAUCAAUGGACAAGGAGACGGGAGGCAACCCUCAAUUCUGUCUCCUCAGUCUGUGUGAUAGGUCAGGCGUUUGUGGCAUUUCAAAGUAGUCCCAAAUUAACACCAAAGUGUUAAUAAUUAGGUUAUAGCUUUCUUCUAUUGCAUAUACCUGGGCUUUAGGACUUAUAGUUCUGGCUUUGUGCCAUCGGUAACAACUUAAGCAAUGGUUAAUCAGUUUCAGCUAGUCCCACAGUUACAUGUGGCUUGCUCAAAAAGUUAUAUCUUGGGGCAGGGCAAUGGCUCACACCUGGAAUUCUACCACUCAGAGAGGCUAAGGCGGGUGAAUUGCUUGAGCUCAGGAGCUCAAGACCAGCCUGAGAAAAAGUGAGACCCCAUGUCUACUAAAAGUAGAAAAACUAGCUCGCUGUUGUAGUGAGCACCUGUAGUCUCAGCUACUUGGGAGUCUGAGGUAAGAGGAUCACUUAAGACCAAGAGUUUGAAUUGCUGUGAGCUAUGAUGAAUCCACUGCACCCAACCCAGGGCAAAGGAGUAAGACUCAGUCUCAAAAAAAAAAAAAAAAAGUUACAUCCUGUACCAGAUGCUCUCAAUACCCUGGUCUGGUCAUGCAUGCCCUUGGCUGCCUACUGCUGCAGGUUCAUGCUGGAAUUGCCCACUGAAAGGUUAAAAACAAUGGGGAACCACAAUGAGAUACCACUUUACUCUGUCACUAGGUUAGUAAUAACAAUGAUAAUGAAAGGAAAAGAAAAGUUGUCAAGGAUGCAGAAAAACCGGAAUAGUUGAACCUUUAUACAUUGCUGAUAGGAAUAUGAAACUGUUAUACCUUUGGGGAAAUAGUCUGGCAGGUUCUCAAAAAGUUCAGCAUAAAAUUUCCACAUGUGGGGCUGGUCCAUGGGCAAUGGUGUUUACAACUAAUUGAUCACAACCAGUUACAGAUUCCUUUGUUCCUUCUCCACUCCCACUGCUUCACUUGACUAGUUAAAAAAAAAGAAAAAAAUUUUUCACAUGUCGGCGGCACCUGUGGCUCAAUGAGUAGGGCGCCUGCUCCAUAUACCAAGGGUGGUGAGUUCGAACCCGGCCCCAGCCAAACUGCAACAAAAAAAUAGCCGGGUGUUGUGGCAGGCGCCUGUAGUCCCAGCUACUUGGGAGGCUGAGGCAAGGGAAUCGCCUAAGCCCAAGAGCUAGAGGUUGCUGUGAGCUGUGACACCAUAGCACUCUACUGAGGGUGAUGAAGUGAGACUCUGUCUCUAAAAAAAAAAAAAUAGAAUUGAAAACAUGUUUACUCAAAAACUUGUACAUGAUGGGCUCAGUGGCUCAUGUCUAUAAUCCUAGCACUCUGGUAGGCUGAGGUGGGCAGAUUGCCUAAGCUCAGGAGUUCGAGACCAGCCUGAGCAAGAGUGACACCUCUGUCUCUACUAAAAAUAGAAAAAAUGAGGCCAAAGGAUCACUUGAGCCCAGAAGUUUGAGGUUGCUAUUAGCUAUGAUGCCACAGCACUCUACUGAAGGCAACAAAGUUAGACUCCGUCUCAAACAAACAAACAAACAAAUAAAUAAUAAAACCUUGGGCUUGGCGCCCGUAGCACAGUGCUUACAGCGCCAGCCACAUACACUGAGGCCUACGGGUUCAAAACUGGCCUGGAUCAGCUAAACAACAAUUACAACUGCAACAAAAAAUAGCUGGGCAUUGUGGUGGGUGCCUGUAGUCCCAGCUACUUGGGAGGCUGAGGCAAGAGAAUCGCUUAAGUCCAAGAGUUUGAGGUUGCUGUGAGCUGGGACAUCACAGCACUCUACCAAGGUCAACAUACUGAGUCUCUGUCUCAAAAAAAACAAAUAAAUAAAAUGGCUUGGCACCUGUAGCUCAAGCAGCUAAGGUGCCAGCCACGUAGACCAGAGCUGGCGGGUUUGAAUCCAGCCCGGGCCUGCCAAACGACGAUGACAACUACAACCAAAACAAAACAGCCAGGCAUUGUGGCAGGUGCCUGUAGUCCCAGCUACUUGGGAGGCUGAGGCAAGAGAAUCACUUAAGCCCAGAAGUUGGAGGUUACUGUGAGCUGUGAUGCCAUAGUACUCUACCCACGGUUACAGCUUGAGGCUCUGUCUCAAAAAAUAAUAAUAAUAAAUGAAUAAAAAGUAAAAAUAGGUGGCGCCUGUGGCUCAGCGGGUAGGGCGCCGGCCCCAUAUGCCGAGGGUGGUGGGUUCAAACCCAGCCCUGGCCAAAACUGCAACAAAAAAAUAGCAGGGUGCUAUGGCGGGUGCCUGUAGUCCCAGCUGCUCUGGAGGCUGAGGCAAGAGAAUCGCCUAAGCCCAGGAGUUGGAGGUUGCUGCGAGCUGUGCGACGCCACGGCACUCUACUGAGGGCGAUAAAGUGAGACUCUGUUUCUACCAAAAAAAAAAAGUAAAAAUAGCCAGGCAUGUGGCGGGCACCUGUAGUUCCAGCUACUAGGGAGGUUGAGGCAAGAGGAGGAAACAUUGUUAAAGUCUCUCUUCCCACUGCCAUCAUGUCUAAGUCAGAGUCUCCUAAGGAGCCCGAACAGCUGCGGAAGCUCUUCAUUGGAGGGUUGAGCUUUGAAACGACUGAUGAGAACCUGAGGAGCCAUUUUGAGCAAUGGGGAACGCUCCCAGACUGCGUGGUAAUGAGAGAUCCAAACACCAAUCGCUCCAGGGGCUUCGGGUUUGUCACAUACACCACCAUGGAGGAGGUGGAUGCAGCAGUGAAUGCAAGGCCACACAAAGUGGAUGGAAGAGUUGUGGAACCAAAGAGAGCUGUUUCCAGAGAAGAUUCUCAAAGACCUGGUGCUCACUUAACUGUGAAAAAGAUCUUUCUGGAUGGCAUUAAAGAAGAUACUGAAGAACAUCACUUAAGAGAGUUUUUUGAACAGUAUGGGAAAAUUGAAGUAAUUGAAAUCAUGACUGACCGAGGCAGUGGCAAGAAGAGGGGCUUUGCUUUUGUUACGUUUGAUGACCAUGAUUCUGUGGAUAAGAUUGUCAUUCAGAAAUACCAUACUGUGAAUGGCCACAACUGUGAAGUAAGGAAAGCCCUGUCAAAGCAAGAGAUGGCUGGUGCUUCGUCCAGCCAAAGAGGUCGAAGUGGUUCUGGAAACUUUGGGGGGUUGUGGAGGUGGUUUUGGUGGAAAUGACAACUUUGGCCAUGGAGGAAACUUCAGUGGUCAUGGUGACUUUGGUGGCAGCUGUGGUGGUGGUGGAUAUGGUGGCAGUGGGGAUGGCUACAAUGGAUUUGGUAAUGAUGGAAGCAAUUUUGGAGGUGGUGGAAGUUACAAUGAUUUUGGCAAUUACAACAAUCAGUCAUCAAAUUUUGGACCCAUGAAGGGAGGAAAUUUUGGAGGCAGAAGCUCUGACCCUUAUGGUGGUGGCGGCCAAUACUUUGCCAAACCACGAAACCAAGGUGGCUAUGGUGGUUUCAGUAGCAGCAGUAGCUAUGGCAGUGGCAGAAGGUUUUAAUUAUUCCCAGGAAACAAAGCUUAGCAGGAGAGGAGAGCCAGAGAAGUGACAGGGAAGCUAUAGGUUACAACAGAUUUGUGAACUCAGCCAAGCACAGUGGUGGCAGGGCCUAGCUGCUACAAAGAAGACAUGUUUUAGACAAUACUCAUAUGUAUGGGCAAAAAACUCGAGGACUGUAUUUGUGACUAAUUGUAUAACAGGUUAUUUUAGUUUCUGUUCUGUGGAAAGUGUAAAGCAUUCCAACAAAGGGUUUUAAUGUAGAUUUUUUUUUUGCACCCAUGCUGUUGAUUGCUAAAUGUAAUAGUCUGAUCAUGAUGCUGAAUAAAUGUGUCU
Molecule: RNA transcript, 4265 nt
Organism: Nycticebus coucang (slow loris)
Lineage: Eukaryota; Metazoa; Chordata; Mammalia; Primates; Lorisidae
Gene name: heterogeneous nuclear ribonucleoprotein A1-like
Exons: 1
Source: RefSeq, a predicted model, not a curated record